RNAcentral lists this microRNA precursor (50 nucleotides) under Heligmosomoides polygyrus. RNAcentral describes it as "microRNA hpo-mir-10138 precursor". Lineage: Eukaryota; Metazoa; Nematoda; Chromadorea; Rhabditida; Heligmosomidae. The record is from miRBase by way of RNAcentral.
UCGCGCAGCAGUAUCGAUUGGACAAGAAGGAAAAUCGAUAUCGUUGCGCA